Camelus dromedarius (Arabian camel) is the source of this 5058-nucleotide RNA transcript. RefSeq lists it as uncharacterized. The transcript is spliced from 6 exons. NCBI's taxonomy places the organism in Eukaryota, Metazoa, Chordata, Mammalia, Artiodactyla, Camelidae. The record is from RefSeq and is a predicted model, not a curated record.
UGGGCUGGACCUACAGCGUUUUUCUAGCGGCCGUCGUUUAGGGCGCUCUUCAUUUUGUUCACCGGACCUAAUUCUUGAUUAUAUUUUUGACGGGGCCCAAGAUAAAGGACCCAUGGUUGCAGAAGUGCUUAUGGGCCAUGCACAGGAGGAAGACUAGGGCUGCCUGCCAUCACCUCUUUGAGUCCUUUCUGGAAGCUUCCUUUGGCACCUCUAUAAGGCCUGAGCCAGCCAAUCACCCUCCAGAUCCUCACUUAAAGGAGUCUGAGCUGAAGAAACAAGGAGUGUGGAAGAAAAGGAUAUCUAAGGAGGAAGGCAGUCAAGAAGUGUCCGAAAGGCAAGACUACCAGAAAAGGGGCCCCCAUACCAGUGAAAGGGGCCCCAUAGCACCUAGGUUCCUGAUGACAAAUGAAGUUGUCACAUAAUUGGGAGCAGCCCUGGGCCUCUAAAAGGAAACCUCUCUUCCAGGAAGAUAGCUUAGGUAAGAAACCACAGACAUCUAUGAGCUCAUUCACCAAAGGCCAUCUCAUCACUAGCUCAUACUGCCCUGCUGGGGGUUCCUGCCUCUUUGCAGGGGCGACCCAGCUGUCUGGCCCAGCUAUAUUCUGCUUCCUAUAGCCAGAGACGUUAAGGAAAGAGCUUGAUGAAGACCAUUGACUCAGCUCUUCAGCCUUAUUAAAGUCAAAGAAGAAGACUCAGAGAGGAAGGCUUUCAGAUACUUUGUCAAGGAGAAAUUCUCCACCCACAUCUGGCAGUUGUGGGCUCUGUAAACAGAAAGUUUCAGUGUCGCUAUUGCUGCCACUUGCUGAUGGUACCGCCACUGUGGUGAGGUCAGGAGGAGCUGCUUCAACCUCCUACCUUCCUUGUACGGUCAUUGCUAAGGACCUGGGCUUGGGGAAGAACACAGACCCAAUGGAACCACAAGGCUGGAGGAUAAAACUGAGGCCACGUCAAACAGCAGUACCACUCAGCCUGCCCAUUCUUUCUCCGUGUUUUUUGUGGGGACUGCAGUUACAUGGCGACCGGCCACCUUCCCCUGGCAGAUUCCAGAGACCAUCAGAUUAGCAGUCACUGAUCUGACUGACCUGUCUGCCCCUGUACCCAUCCCCUAUACCAGAUAUCGGUCAUGACGUGAGAUGCACAGUUUCUAACUCUCCUUCUUUUGCUUUUCCUGCUGUUUCUUACUUUGGAUUCCAACCCAUAUUUGGGGUUCCACUUAUUAAUGAGAAUGAAUAGAGGCCCUCUGCAUUCCAUUCCCUGUCAUAAUUGCAGGAUCUUGUACUUCUCUCACCACACCUCCUAGCCCCUCAUUCCGCCCCUUAAAGCCUACCUUCUAUAGAACCAAAUCACCUAUACCUGUGUGUGUGGGUUCUUCUCUCUUUUUUUAGACUCCUCUUCAAGUCCCUUUCACCAAUGUCCCUGACUUCACCAGCCAGCCCCUCACUGCUUCUGCAGGCACUGCCUCCACCUCAAUUAGCCCGUGUGCAGACUAGAGCUUCUAGGGUGCUUUGGACUUUGGUCUAGCUGACGUGGACACCACUCUGCCUCCCCAGGCUUUCAUCUUCAGGUCUCCCCCAGGAUCCAAUGUGAGCUCCCUCACGUUUUACCAGGUCUGCCCCAAUGUGGAGCAGAUAUCCCUGCAAAGGCCAUGGUCACCACUAGCCUACCUGCUUUAAUGGUCAGCAGCCCUACCUGAACUUUCAACUUCCCCUUUGGGGCAGAACCAUUCUUUAGCUGACAUUUGGGAGCCUACAUGGAUGGCAAAAGGAAGCCGCUCUCCCCUUUGUCCCUGUCUUUUCUGGCUCAUCUACCACUGAUUCUGCAUUUGCCUCACUCCAAUAACCAGCACCUCUUCAGACGUGGCAUCCAAGCCUGUCUUUGACUCUGAUGAAAUCAAUAUGGAUACCACACCCAAUCCCCAGUCUUUUGUCUCCUUGCCUCCUCUUGACUGCUGUAAUAGCCCUUACCUUUUGGAAAACUUGGCAGCCCCAGUAAAACCUCCAUACUUUCCAUACAUAACCUCUACUGCAAACUUGGACCCAGAAGCAGCACAACUCAGUCAGCUUUUAGGAGUCUUGACAUCCCCAUCUUCCAACUUUGGCACCCCUGUCAGCACCCAGCCAGCCAACCAUUGGCCCAGCCACUCUCUCUUGUUCUGGAGUUACCACCAACAUGCACAGCGCUGAGAACUGCCUCUCACCUUUUGCCAAUACCACUCCAGACCCAUUUGCAUUUAUGGGAUCUUCAGCACCCAUGGGUAGUGGCAGCUUUGAGGUCACUGUGCAUGUCUCAAGUCCCAGCUCCAUGUUGCAACACUCAGCUUUGGAGCAAGGCCACAUGGGAUGCUCAGCACACAGCUCAUACUGGGGAAGGCUUAGACCUGAGUACCAGGGUCCUGACAGCCUAUCGCACCCCUGUUACAACUGGAGAGGCCAGCACUACUGAGAGCAAAUCUGUCCUGGGAAACACUUUCCUUCCUACCUAUAAUAAGAGCACCGAGAAUCAGCCCAACCAAACACCUACUACUACUGGAGGAGACAGCAUCACUGAGAAAGGACAUGUGCCAGCAGACACUUCUGUUCCUCCUUCUGUUCAGAUUGCCUGGGACCAUUCAGCCAGGGUACAUCUGUUGCCAUUAAGGAAAGAGAACCACAUCUGUGCUGGAGAUACCCCUUUUUGUGCCUACAGUCUAUAGCUCGGAGGGGCAAGCACCUCACCUGUGGUUUGCGGCCAUUAUGUUCCUACCUACAGUCAGAGCUCCUGGAUCCCACCUGAACAGAGCACAUUUUUGCAAUGGGAAGGGCCAAUACCAUAACCGUGUUUGGAGUCUUCUCUUUCUGCGUCUGAUCUGAACACUUGGGGGCCACCUAAUCAGAGAAAACCGUUAUUACUGGAGAAGCCUGCACCAGUGAGAAGAAAUGCAUGCCAGGAGAUACUUCUGUUCCUGCCAUCCAUCAGACACCUGGCCAGAGCACAUCAUUUGCUGUCUGAGAGCUAGCCAUAACUGUGAUUAGAAAUGCUACUGUCAGAGCACCUGGGCACACACUCCAGAGCACAGCCGCUACAACGGGAGAAGGCAGCGCCAUUCUUGUGCUUCUGGAUAUUUAAGUCCCACCAUCAUUCAGAAUGGCUGGGGCUCAUGGUCAGACCACAUUGUUGCAGUCUCAUGGGACAACACCAUACACUUUUAGGAAGACACUUCUAUUUUCACCAUCACUGAGAACACCUAGGGCCUAUCCAGACAGAAUACCUCCUUUGAAGUGGAGUAAUGAACACCACUAAAGAGAUAUCUACAUUUCAGCACUUUUGCUGCUAUUUUUUCAGAGCAAAUGUAGCUCUGACAUGGGCACAGCAAGCAGCAAUCUCACCUUGGGGCAGCUUUGUCACCUGCCCAGCUUUCUUUGGAGACAGAAGUGUUGGGUUGCCAACCCAUUCAUUUUCUUCUACUGGAAGAAACAAUGUCUCAGCAACUAUAAGCAAAAGCCAUCCACAAAUGGUGGGUGACCACUAAUUGCCAAGAAUGAGCCUUGCUCUUCUGGAAAGAGGCUCAGCCCCUUCUAGUUAUGUCAAACAAAUUUAACCUGCCCUAUGUCCUCGUAGAGUAAGCUGGAGGCCCAACACCACAGGGUGUUUAUGUAUGUGUAAAAAGGUGUGGUUUCAGAUGAGGCUGGUCAGAAGUCAACACACCUGCCGUGAGAAGCUCCACUGUAGAAAAGAAGAUAGAGAUUAACUUAGGCAAAUCAUCCCCACACAUUCAUAACUCGAGCAGAGAGGACAGACGUGACAUCUAGAGGAACAAAGGAAGAAAAGGCUCACAACUGCUUUAUCUCCAUGACUGAAAAAAAAAAAAGCUUCUGCACAGCAUACCAGGACAUCUGAGAGCUCCAUCCAUCUGUGCACCCAAAAGUGGGGAGAUUGGACUGGAGCAGGCGGCAGAGCAAGGGAAGUGGCAGCAGAGCAGCAGCAGCAGAGGUGGUGACAGCAGAGAAGGCAGCAACCAGUCCAGCAGCAAGACUAAAAUCAAGUAAUAUAAUCCAUCAUACCAACAGGCUAAAAAAGAAAACACAUGAUCACAUGAUCACAUCAAUAGAUGCAGAAGAAGCAUUUGACCAACUCCAACACCCAUGCAUGAUAAGAACUCUCAGUAAACUAGGAAUCGAAAGGAACUUCCUCAACCAGGUAAAGAGUAACUACAAAAAACCUAAAGGUAGCAACAUAUUUAAUGGUGAGAAACUUGAAGUUUCCCUGCUAAGAUCAGGAAGAAGGCAAGGAUGUCCCCUCUCACCACUCCUUUUCAACAUCGUACUGAAGUACUAGUUAAUGCAGUAAGAUGACAAAAUAAAAUAGAAGGUAUACAGGUUGAGAAGGAAGAUAUAAAACUGUCUUUGUUCACAGAUGACAUGAUCAUCUGUGUAGAAAAUCCAAAAGAAUAAUCAUGUAAAACUCCUGGAACAAACAUGCAAUUAUAGCACAGUUGCAGGUGAAGACAUGUUUAAGAUCAUUUAAAAAUCAAAAUGGAGUAAUGAUGGUCCAGGCAUCCAAAAUGGAGCCAUGGUGGAUAUGGUUUCAGACACUCUCCUGCAUGGCUGAGAAGCUGAAUUUUCUCUGAGCUGUAUCAGACUCAAGGACACCGCUAGCCUCUUUCAAAACAAUAUCUGCCAACAGCUGCUAACUGCAAUCUUUAGUUUCAGAGUUCCUGCCUUCACAGCUAUGUAAUCAUUUCAGACCUCAACCAGUCCUGGUUUUACAAACACCCUUACUUAUCUCCAGCCCCAAUCCUAAUUCUUGACAAGUGAUUUAUGUAACCUUACUUUUUUUUUUUUUUUGCCUUUUAAACCUCCCCAUUUUUCAGUCCAAUGGAACACAACUCAAGUGCUUCCUGAAUCUGUGUCUCCUGGGCUGCAGUCCUAACAAACCCCAAUAAAAGCCUCUUUAUUUCAACCAGGUCUUUCUCCAUUUCUGAAAUCUUGGUUAAUGAUUGAUAGCUAGCUAGCUAGAAAGAUAGACAGAAAGAAAGAUAUGUAUUUUCUGUGUACUACUACAAACUACUUAAAAGACACC